Molecule: long non-coding RNA, 967 nt
Organism: Peromyscus californicus insignis
Lineage: Eukaryota; Metazoa; Chordata; Mammalia; Rodentia; Cricetidae
Exons: 3
Source: RefSeq, a predicted model, not a curated record
UAUACAUUUUAAUAUACUAUUUUCAUAAAUUCUUUGAGAAUUUCAUACAUGCGUCUGAUGUAUUUUGAUCAUAUUCACCCCACUCUUCCUCCUACCUCUUCAACCUUACUACCCUCUCCCAAUUUUAUGUUUUCUUUUCAAGAAAAAUAACCUACCAAACCCAAUUUGUGCCACCCAUAUACUCGAGGGUCUGGUGUCACCCACUGGAGCAUGGUCUACCUACCAGAGGCCGCAUCCUCAGACCAAAUGAUGGUGUUUCCCUGCCAGAAGCCACCUGCUGUCAGUAGCACCUCUGUAGGUAUGAAAAGGAUUUUCAUGGUGACUAUACCAGUUUGCAGUACCACCAGCAGCGAAUAAGUGCCCCCUUCACCCGGAUCCUCAUCAAGAUAUGCUGUCACCUGUCUUUGGACCUUAGUAAUUCUGGCCAGGAUCCCUGAGCCGUAAGGAAAAGACUCUGACACAUCCCAUCAGGGCCAAGUGUGCCAAAGUCUCUCACUCUCUGCACACUGUCCAGUUGUGGAUGUCGUUAUUAAUUACCAUCUAGUGAGAGAAGAAGAUUCUUUGAUGAGGGUUGAGAGUGAGAAAGAAGAAGAAACUACGAACAAAUAAAUAUUAACAAAUACUGGUGAGGAUGUGAAGGCUGGGGAGAAGGAAACCAUAUACACAGAUGUUGGGCAUACAAGUGAGUAUAGCUUCUGUGGAAGUCAGCAGGGAGAAUGCUUAAAAAUUAAAACUAGAAUUACUAUAAGAUCCAACUAUGUCCUCACUGGGCACUUACCAAAAAGAAUAAAAUUCAGUUUACUAUGGAGAUACCUGCACAUCCAUAUUAAUCACUGUACUAUUCACAGUAGCCAAACUAUGGGAUCAACCCAGGUGCUCAUUAAUGAAUGAAUGGAAAAUGUAAUAAAUAUACACAACAGAGUAUGUUACAAAGAAGAAUAAAAUCAUGUCAUUUACACAAAAAUGG